CUAUGCGCCUUGCCAGCCCGCUCAGGUGUGCCAGCAGCCGCGGUAAUACGGAGGAUGCGAGCGUUAUCCGGAUUUAUUGGGUUUAAAGGGUGCGUAGGCGGUCCGUUAAGUCAGCGGUAAAAUUGCGGGGCUCAACCCCGUCGAGCCGUUGAAACUGUCAGACUUGAGUUGGCGAGAAGUACGCGGAAUGCGCGGUGUAGCGGUGAAAUGCAUAGAUAUCGCGCAGAACUCCGAUUGCGAAGGCAGCGUACCGGCGCCAGACUGACGCUGAGGCACGAAAGCGUGGGGAUCGAACAGG
Molecule: ribosomal RNA, 298 nt
Filed under: uncultured bacterium
Lineage: Bacteria
Description: partial 16S ribosomal RNA
Rfam family: Bacterial small subunit ribosomal RNA
Source: RNAcentral